CCUACGGGAGGCAGCAGUAGGGAAUGUUGCGCAAUGGGCGAAAGCCUGACGCAGCAACGCCGCGUGAACGAGACGGACGUCGGGGUGGAAAGAUCUGUAAGUGGGGACGAAAAAUGACGGUACACACAGAGGAAGCACCGGCGAACGCCGGGCCAGCAGCCGCGGUAAUACGGAGGGUGCAAGCGUGGUCCGGAAUCAUUGGGCGUAAAGAGUUCGUAGGCGGCAUGUCAAGGCAGGUGUUAAAGGCGCAGGCUCAACCUGUGUAUGGCACUUGAUACUUGCAAGCUGGAAGGCGGUAGAGGUCACGGUAAUUCCUGUUGUAGCGGUGCACUGCUUAGUUUUCAGGCGGACCUUCGGUGGCGUACGCGCUUUACUGUGCCGUACUUGACGCUGCGGCACG
RNAcentral lists this ribosomal RNA (400 nucleotides) under uncultured bacterium. Its description in RNAcentral is "partial 16S ribosomal RNA". It matches the Rfam family "Bacterial small subunit ribosomal RNA", at positions 338 to 755 of the family's 1533-position model. The record is from RNAcentral.